RNAcentral lists this long non-coding RNA (294 nucleotides) under Pelobates cultripes (western spadefoot toad). Lineage: Eukaryota; Metazoa; Chordata; Amphibia; Anura; Pelobatidae. The record is from RNAcentral.
CUGCAGCACUGGCGUUAGUUAACAUGGCAAAUCAUAUGGGUGGGGCAUUGUGAUGUCACAUGGGGGGGCGGCAAACUUUACUUUUGCCUAGGGCGGCAAAAAUCCUUGCACCGGCCCUGGCUGGAGGGGGCUGUGUGAGCUGUGGCCGCACAGUGUCCCAUGGUAGUUAGGGUGCCGUGCGGCCAGUACAGCUCACACAAGCAAACAGCUGAUAAACUGCACGGAGGAAAUGUGUAUGUGUGACUGUCUGCCUGUUACUGUGUGUGACUGUCUGCCUGUAACUGAGUGUGUGAC